CAAUAGCGUAUAUUAAAGUUGUUGCAGUUAAAAAGCUCGUAGUUGGAUUUGUGGCGUACGGUGUGUUCCGGGCACUUGUUGUCUGAGUAACCUGCUGUUGCCAUCCUUGGGUGGAACCUGUGUGGCAUUAGGUUGUCGUGCAGGGGAUGCCCAUCAUUUACUGUGAAAAAAUUAGAGUGUUAAAAGCAGGCUUAUGCCGUUGAAUAUAUUAGCAUGGAAUAAUGAGAUAGGACUUUUUUGCUAUUUUGUUGGUUUGCGCAAAGAGGUAAUGAUUAAUAGGGACAGUUGGGGGUAUUCGUAUUCCAUUGUCAGAGGUGAAAUUCUUGGAUUUUUGGAAGACGAACUACUGCGAAAGCAUUUACCAAGGAUGUUUUCAUUAA
This 380-nucleotide ribosomal RNA is filed under the name uncultured eukaryote. RNAcentral's name for it is "partial 18S ribosomal RNA". It matches the Rfam family "Eukaryotic small subunit ribosomal RNA", at positions 592 to 976 of the family's 1831-position model. The record is from RNAcentral.